This 1031-nucleotide long non-coding RNA is filed under the name Struthio camelus australis. RNAcentral's name for it is "lncRNA (ENSSCUG00000007299.1)". The record is from RNAcentral. Lineage: Eukaryota; Metazoa; Chordata; Aves; Struthioniformes; Struthionidae.
AUGAAGUCAAGAAGCAUCUUCCUGCUGGGGCUCCUCACCCUGUGGGCAGAACUGCAGGCUGCACCCACAAAAGGAGUCACGUGCAAGUGUUUGCCCAAAUGCAGAGAUGACAGGGACUGUCCGGCUGAGCACAUGUGCAGCAGCUCCCAAGGAAGACUCAUCUGCAAACCUGUUACUGUUGGCGGGAUCCCAGGAGCAGCCUCUCCUGUCCCUGCUGGUGGUGCAGAGAGACCACAGGAAGAGAUGCCAGCAAGCGCUUUGCCGGGGGAAAGCCCUUCGUUAAGGGAAAAACCCGUCUCUGUUUCAAGCCCUGAGUCCAGCACAGUCACCCCAGCCAAGAAGCCAGGGUCAGGUGAACAUCUGGUGUCUAAAGAGAAGCUCCCACCUGGGGAAAAGCUGGUUACUUCUGUGACACCUGCAACAGAGGAGAAACUGUCUGGGGUGAAGCCCACAUCAGGGAACAAACCCACACUGGUUGAGAGACCGGAGACUGGGGGGAAGCCAGAGACUGAGGGGAAGCCAGCAUCCGAGGGAAAGCCAGAGUCGGGAGAGAAGACAGAGUCUGACCAGGGUGACAGUGGAGAGGAUGAUGACAACGAUGAUGACGACGAUGAUGAUGGUGGUGAUGAUGAUGAUGAGAAAAAUCAACACAACACUUAUGAUUAUGAUGAUGAUGAUAACAACAACUAUGACUAUGGGGAUGAUGAUGACGGUGACGAUGAUGAUGAUGAUGACGGUGACGAUGAUGCUGAUGGUGGUGAUGACGGUGACGAUGAUGGUGACAACAGUGAUGACAAUGGCAGUGAUGGCGAUGAUGCCUGGUGACCAAUGGCCAUGGGCUGUGUGUGGGGUGAGGAAAGCCUGCGGCAGGUGGGCGUGUGGGGCAGGCCAGCGGUUUGGGACAGCUGCCCUCGGCCCUCCUGCUCUGCCUCCUCCCUCUGCCUCGCUCUGCCAGGGCUGGUCCCAGGCACCAAAGUCAUUUUGGGCAGGACCUUCUCUCUCUCUUAAUAAAUCCCCUGUUGGGCUCUUCA